CACGCAGGCGGUCUGUCAAGUCGGAUGUGAAAUCCCCGGGCUCAACCUGGGAACUGCAUUCGAAACUGGCAGGCUAGAGUCUUGUAGAGGGGGGUAGAAUUCCAGGGGUAGCGGUGAAAUGCGUAGAGAUCUGGAGGAAUACCGGUGGCGAAGGCGGCCCCCUGGACAAAGACUGACGCUCAGGUGCGAAAGCGUGGGGAGCAAACAGGAUUAGAUACCCUGGUAGUCCACGCCGUAAACGAUGUCGAUUUGGAGGUUGUGCCCUUGAGGCGUGGCUUCCGGAGCUAACGCGUUAAAUCGACCGCCUGGGGAGUACGGCCGCAAGGUUAAAACUCAAAUGAAUUGACGGGGGCCCGCACAAGCGGUGGAGCAUGUGGUUUAAUUCGAUGCAACGCGAAGAACCUUACCUGGUCUUGACAUCCACAGAACUUUCCAGAGAUGGAUUGGUGCCUUCGGGAACUGUGAGACAGGUGCUGCAUGGCUGUCGUCAGCUCGUGUUGUGAAAUGUUGGGUUAAGUCCCGCAACGAGCGCAACCCUUAUCC
Molecule: ribosomal RNA, 543 nt
Filed under: Klebsiella pneumoniae
Lineage: Bacteria; Pseudomonadati; Pseudomonadota; Gammaproteobacteria; Enterobacterales; Enterobacteriaceae
Description: bacterial SSU rRNA
Rfam family: Bacterial small subunit ribosomal RNA
Source: RNAcentral